RNAcentral lists this ribosomal RNA (435 nucleotides) under Eysarcoris venustissimus. RNAcentral describes it as "partial 16S ribosomal RNA". It matches the Rfam family "Archaeal large subunit ribosomal RNA", at positions 1999 to 2636 of the family's 2987-position model. Lineage: Eukaryota; Metazoa; Arthropoda; Insecta; Hemiptera; Pentatomidae. The record is from RNAcentral.
UUUAAAUAGCCGCAGUAUUUUGACUGUGCGAAGGUAGCAUAAUCAUUUGUCUUUUAAUUGAAGGCUUGUAUGAAUGGUUGAAUGAGGGAAUAACUUUCUUUAUAUUAAAUAUUGAAUUUAAUUUUUAAGUCAAAAAGCUUAAAUUUUUUAAUGGGACGAGAAGACCCUAUAGAAUUUUAUAGUUAUAAAUGUUUUUGUAUUUUGGUUAUUGUAUACUAUAAUAUUAAUAACUAUUUUGUUGGGGUGACAGUGGAAUUUUUUUAACUUCUAUAUUUUAUUAAUUGUUAAUAUACAUAUUUAUGAUCCUUAAUUUAGGAUAAUUAGAUUAAUUUACCUUAGGGAUAACAGCGUAAUUUUUCUGGAGAGUUCUUAUUGAUAGAAGAGUUUGCGACCUCGAUGUUGGAUUAAAAUUAGAUUUAAGUGCAGAAGCUUAAU